RNAcentral lists this small nucleolar RNA (80 nucleotides) under Eschrichtius robustus (grey whale). RNAcentral's name for it is "Small nucleolar RNA SNORD66". It matches the Rfam family "Small nucleolar RNA SNORD66". From Rfam's summary of the family: snoRNA HBII-142 is part of the C/D family of snoRNAs. It is the human orthologue of the mouse MBII-142 snoRNA and is predicted to guide 2'O-ribose methylation of small 18S rRNA at residue C1272. Lineage: Eukaryota; Metazoa; Chordata; Mammalia; Artiodactyla; Eschrichtiidae. The record is from Rfam by way of RNAcentral. RNAcentral also lists the same sequence under 1 other name.
CUUCAUUGAUGACCUCUCGUGCCAUUGUGUCUGGGUCAUAGAAGCCCUGUAAUGGAACUUUUAAGGGUUAGAUUAAGGAA